Molecule: unclassified non-coding RNA, 551 nt
Filed under: Hevea brasiliensis (rubber tree)
Lineage: Eukaryota; Viridiplantae; Streptophyta; Magnoliopsida; Malpighiales; Euphorbiaceae
Source: RNAcentral
UAUUCUUUCUUCUAACAAUGUGAUUUGCUGUUUGUUCGCCCUCCCCAAUGCUAUAAUUGUUUGUAUUGUUUUCAAUCUUGUUUUACAUAUCUCCAAGAAUCUCUAUCCUCUUUACUGUUGCACACUGCUGUCAAGGUUUUGAGUUAGGUUUUUUAUGUUUUCUUUUUUAAUUCUAUAGUUUGUUCUUGAUUUUUAAGCAGUGAGCUUAACUGCACAAGCUUUUGGUUCCUGUCUCAUCUCAAAUAUUCAGUUUCUGGACAUUAAACAGCUGAACAUUAUAAUUUUUUACCCUCAUUAUUAAUUGUAAUUGUUGAUUGAUGGCUUCGCUCUUGGAGAUGUCUGUAGAUGCCUGCUAUUUGAAUCGCUCUACGUAUUUGUUAUUCAAGUGGUUGAGGGAAAGAAAUGGAUAUAUGGGACAAAUCCUUCAUUAACUUCUAGCAUUAAUAGCUUUCUGUAAAUUCAACAGUUUUUUUUUUUUUUUUCUCUAAAAAAGAAGAAACUUUAAACGGGAACCAAGACUUUUCCACAUGGAUAUCAGUUCAAAUAUUAGA